UACGUAGGUGGCAAGCGUUGUCCGGAUUUAUUGGGCGUAAAGCGAGCGCAGGUGGUCUUUUAAGUCUGAUGUGAAAGCCCUCGGCUCAACCGAGGAAGGUCAUUGGAAACUGGAGGACUUGAGUGCAGAAGAGGAGAGUGGAAUUCCAUGUGUAGCGGUGAAAUGCGUAGAUAUAUGGAGGAACACCAGUGGCGAAGGCGACUCUCUGGUCUGUAACUGACACUGAGGCUCGAAAGCGUGGGGAGCAAAC
RNAcentral lists this ribosomal RNA (250 nucleotides) under uncultured bacterium. RNAcentral's name for it is "partial 16S ribosomal RNA". It matches the Rfam family "Bacterial small subunit ribosomal RNA", at positions 524 to 773 of the family's 1533-position model. The record is from RNAcentral.